CCUACGGGAGGCAGCAGUGGGGAAUUUUGGACAAUGGGCGAAAGCCUGAUCCAGCAAUGCCGCGUGCAGGAUGAAGGCCCUCGGGUUGUAAACUGCUUUUGUACGGAACGAAAAGCCUGGGGCUAAUACCCCCGGGUCAUGACGGUACCGUAAGAAUAAGCACCGGCUAACUACGUGCCAGCAGCCGCGGUAAUACGUAGGGUGCAAGCGUUAAUCGGAAUUACUGGGCGUAAAGCGUGCGCAGGCGGUUUUGUAAGACAGUGGUGAAAUCCCCGGGCUCAACCUGGGAACUGCCAUUGUGACUGCAAAGCUAGAGUGCGGCAGAGGGGGAUGGAAUUCCGCGUGUAGCAGUGAAAUGCGUAGAUAUGCGGAGGAACACCGAUGGCGAAGGCAAUCCCCUGGGCCUGCACUGACGCUCAUGCACGAAAGCGUGGGGAGCAAACAGGAUUAGAUACCCUGGUAGUCCACGCCCUAAACGAUGUCAACUGGUUGUUGGGUCUUAACUGACUCAGUAACGAAGCUAACGCGUGAAGUUGACCGCCUGGGGGAGGUACGGCCGCGAGGUAGAACGUACGAAGAGUAGUAGCGNGNGAGAGCGACGACGACGACGACGGAGGGAGG
RNAcentral lists this ribosomal RNA (621 nucleotides) under uncultured bacterium. Its description in RNAcentral is "bacterial SSU rRNA". The stretch from base 1 to 542 matches the Rfam family "Bacterial small subunit ribosomal RNA", at positions 338 to 873 of the family's 1533-position model. The record is from RNAcentral.